RNAcentral lists this ribosomal RNA (730 nucleotides) under uncultured bacterium. Its description in RNAcentral is "bacterial SSU rRNA". It matches the Rfam family "Bacterial small subunit ribosomal RNA", at positions 771 to 1501 of the family's 1533-position model. The record is from RNAcentral.
AACAGGAUUAGAUACCCUGGUAGUCCACGCCGUAAACGAUGUCGACUUGGAGGCUGUGCCCUUGAGGCGUGGCUUCCGGAGCUAACGCGUUAAGUCGACCGCCUGGGGAGUACGGCCGCAAGGUUAAAACUCAAAUGAAUUGACGGGGGCCCGCACAAGCGGUGGAGCAUGUGGUUUAAUUCGAUGCAACGCGAAGAACCUUACCUACUCUUGACAUCCAGAGAACUUAGCAGAGAUGCUUUGGUGCCUUCGGGAACUCUGAGACAGGUGCUGCAUGGCUGUCGUCAGCUCGUGUUGUGAAAUGUUGGGUUAAGUCCCGCAACGAGCGCAACCCUUAUCCUUUGUUGCCAGCGGUUAGGCCGGGAACUCAAAGGAGACUGCCAGUGAUAAACUGGAGGAAGGUGGGGAUGACGUCAAGUCAUCAUGGCCCUUACGAGUAGGGCUACACACGUGCUACAAUGGCAUAUACAAAGAGAAGCGACCUCGCGAGAGCAAGCGGACCUCAUAAAGUAUGUCGUAGCCCGGAUUGGAGUCUGCAACUCGACUCCAUGAAGUCGGAAUCGCUAGUAAUCGUGGAUCAGAAUGCCACGGUGAAUACGUUCCCGGGCCUUGUACACACCGCCCGUCACACCAUGGGAGUGGGUUGCAAAAGAAGUAGGUAGCUUAACCUUCGGGAGGGCGCUUACCACUUUGUGAUUCAUGACUGGGGUGAAGUCGUAACAAGGUAACC